UGGGGAAUUUUGGACAAUGGGCGCAAGCCUGAUCCAGCCAUGCCGCGUGAGUGACGAAGGCCUUAGGGUUGUAAGGCUCUUUCGGCGGGGAAGAUAAUGACGGUACCCGCAGAAGAAGCCCCGGCUAACUCUGUGCCAGCAGCCGCGGUAAUACAGAGGGGGCAAGCGUUGUUCGGAAUCACUGGGCGUAAAGCGCACGUAGGUGGAUAGUUAAGUUCGGGGUGAAAUCCCAGGGCUCAACCCUGGAACUGCCUCGGAUACUGGCUAUCUCGAGUCCGGAAGAGGUGAGUGGAAUUCCUAGUGUAGAGGUGAAAUUCGUAGAUAUUAGGAAGAACACCGGUGGCGAAGGCGGCUCACUGGUCCGGUACUGACACUGAGGUGCGAAAGCGUGGGGAGCAAACAGGAUUAGAUACCCUUGUAGUCCCUGAGCGGGCUGGCAAGGCGCAU
Molecule: ribosomal RNA, 447 nt
Filed under: uncultured bacterium
Lineage: Bacteria
Description: bacterial SSU rRNA
Rfam family: Bacterial small subunit ribosomal RNA
Source: RNAcentral